GACGAACGCUGGCGGCGUGCUUAACACAUGCAAGUCGAACGGAAAGGCCCUGCUUUUGUGGGGUGCUCGAGUGGCGAACGGGUGAGUAACACGUGAGUAACCUGCCCUUGACUUUGGGAUAACUUCAGGAAACUGGGGCUAAUACCGGAUAGGAGCUCCUGCUGCAUGGUGGGGGUUGGAAAGUUUCGGCGGUUGGGGAUGGACUCGCGGCUUAUCAGCUUGUUGGUGGGGUAGUGGCUUACCAAGGCUUUGACGGGUAGCCGGCCUGAGAGGGUGACCGGCCAAAUUGGGACUGAGAUACGGCCCAGACUCCUACGGGAGGCAGCAGUGGGGAAUAUUGCACAAUGGGCGGAAGCCUGAUGCAGCAACGCCGCGUGCGGGAUGACGGCCUUCGGGUUGUAAACCGCUUUCGCCUGUGACGAAGCGUGAGUGACGGUAAUGUGUAAAGAAGCACCGGCUAACUACGUG
Molecule: ribosomal RNA, 468 nt
Filed under: uncultured bacterium
Lineage: Bacteria
Description: partial 16S ribosomal RNA
Rfam family: Bacterial small subunit ribosomal RNA
Source: RNAcentral